AUGGGUGGUAGCAUUCAUCUUGGUAUCGUCCUGCAGUUCUUAGUGAGAAACAGGUCAAAGCUCUAGAUUUGUGGCUCCUGGCUUCUAUUUUACUUGAGUUUGCUCUCCUUUCUUGUGGCUCUUCUGUUUUGUUUUUCUUUUGAUUUUUAUUAAGCUAGAUUUAUCAUGAUUUUUGCUGUUUCACGGUGAGAUCUUGUUGUGCUUGUGUAUUCUGGUGCAAAAUCUUCCAAUCCGGCUGCGACAAAUCUCCUUUGGGCAGCCCGGCCACCUUUUGCACAGAAGGAUGGGCUACGUGUGUUAAAACAUUAGUGGCAAGUGCUUUGCCUCAUUUCCAUCGUGGAGGAUUGGAGUUCAUCUGUUUCCAGUCCUCCCAAUGGAGCAAGCGCACAUCUUGUCUUGCAUCCCUUCAAUUUCUGUCUUUCAUAGGAGUAUCACUUCUGAGAUCUGAUGAAAAAAGAAACCUUUCUGCCAUCUUUUGAGUUUUCCCUGCUUUUCUCGUGAAGGAUGGUUUAUCUCUACUCCUUCCGUCCAAAAAAAAAAAGUACUUAUCUUUAUAUCUGAAAUUCAGUCAGAGGUCAGGAAAACUGGAUCUGAGGUAAUGUUCGUACAUCAGUGGAAGUAAAACUGUGGCACAGUGCAGCUUUGACAAAUGACAUGGAACAUGUAAUUUUGCGUGAUACUACUAACUUGCUAAUAACAUGUAGCAAGGGUUUGAUGACCAAACUUCAUAAGGAAAAAAAUUUCAUACGCUUGCAAGGAGAUAUUGAUUUGCAUAAACUGCUGUUCCGCAGUUGUCAAUAGGGAAGCCAGCAUAGCAGCCACAUAUUUCCAAAUCGCUUUAUAAGUUACAUACAACUAAUGAAAAUCUUGCUUGCGUCUAGGCUAAUUAG
Molecule: small RNA, 890 nt
Filed under: Oryza sativa Japonica Group (Japanese rice)
Lineage: Eukaryota; Viridiplantae; Streptophyta; Magnoliopsida; Poales; Poaceae
Description: sRNA Os01g0704250
Source: RNAcentral